GAUCAAUGAUGAAAAAUAGCCAAAUCUGAGAGCUCUGGCAGCGUCCGCCUCGGCCUCUGAUUACGCUUGAGA
Molecule: small nucleolar RNA, 72 nt
Organism: Acanthochromis polyacanthus (spiny chromis)
Lineage: Eukaryota; Metazoa; Chordata; Actinopteri; Pomacentridae
Source: Ensembl